RNAcentral lists this ribosomal RNA (486 nucleotides) under uncultured bacterium. RNAcentral's name for it is "partial 16S ribosomal RNA". It matches the Rfam family "Bacterial small subunit ribosomal RNA", at positions 30 to 507 of the family's 1533-position model. The record is from RNAcentral.
AUUGAACGCUGGCGGCAUGCCUUACACAUGCAAGUCGAACGGCAGCACGGGUGCUUGCACCUGGUGGCGAGUGGCGAACGGGUGAGUAAUACAUCGGAACAUGUCCUGUAGUGGGGGAUAGCCCGGCGAAAGCCGGAUUAAUACCGCAUACGAUCCACGGAUGAAAGCGGGGGACCUUCGGGCCUCGCGCUAUAGGGUUGGCCGAUGGCUGAUUAGCUAGUUGGUGGGGUAAAGGCCUACCAAGGCGACGAUCAGUAGCUGGUCUGAGGGGACGACCAGCCACACUGGGACUGAGACACGGCCCAGACUCCUACGGGAGGCAGCAGUGGGGAAGUUUGGACAAUGGGCGAAAGCCUGAUCCAGCAAUGCCGCGUGUGUGAAGAAGGCCUUCGGGUUGUAAAGCACUUUUGUCCGGAAAGAAAUCCUUGACUCUAAUACAGUCGGGGGAUGACGGUACCGGAAGAAUAAGCACCGGCUAACUACGUG